RNAcentral lists this ribosomal RNA (1131 nucleotides) under uncultured bacterium. RNAcentral's name for it is "bacterial SSU rRNA". It matches the Rfam family "Bacterial small subunit ribosomal RNA", at positions 391 to 1514 of the family's 1533-position model. The record is from RNAcentral.
GCCAUGCCGCGUGUGUGAAGAAGGCCUUUUGGUUGUAAAGCACUUUAAGCAGUGAAGAAGACUCCAUGGUUAAUACCCAUGGACGAUGACAUUAGCUGCAGAAUAAGCACCGGCUAACUCUGUGCCAGCAGCCGCGGUAAUACAGAGGGUGCAAGCGUUAAUCGGAAUUACUGGGCGUAAAGCGGGCGUAGGUGGCUUGAUAAGUCAGAUGUGAAAUCCCCGGGCUUAACCUGGGAACUGCAUCUGAUACUGUUAGGCUAGAAUAGGUGAGAGGAAGGUAGAAUUCCAGGUGUAGCGGUGAAAUGCGUAGAGAUCUGGAGGAAUACCGAUGGCGAAGGCAGCYUUCUGGCAUCAUAUUGACACUGAGGUUCGAAAGCGUGGGUAGCAAACAGGAUUAGAUACCCUGGUAGUCCACGCCGUAAACGAUGUCUACUAGUCGUUGGGUCCCUUGAGGACUUAGUGACGCAGCUAACGCAAUAAGUAGACCGCCUGGGGAGUACGGCCGCAAGGUUAAAACUCAAAUGAAUUGACGGGGGCCCGCACAAGCGGUGGAGCAUGUGGCUUAAUUCGAUGCAACGCGAAGAACCUUACCUGGUCUUGACAUAUCUAGAAUCCUGCAGAGAUGCGGGAGUGCCUUCGGGAAUUAGAAUACAGGUGCUGCAUGGCUGUCGUCAGCUCGUGUCGUGAGAUGUUGGGUUAAGUCCCGCAACGAGCGCAACCCUUGUCCUUAGUUACCAGCGGGUUAAGCCGGGAACUCUAAGGAUACUGCCAGUGACAAACUGGAGGAAGGCGGGGACGACGUCAAGUCAUCAUGGCCCUUACGACCAGGGCUACACACGUGCCACAAUGGUAGGUACAGAGGGCAGCUACACAGCGAUGUGAUGCGAAUCUCAAAAAGCCUAUCGUAGUCCAGAUUGGAGUCUGCAACUCGACUCCAUGAAGUAGGAAUCGCUAGUAAUCGCGGAUCAGAAUGCCGCGGUGAAUACGUUCCCGGGCCUUGUACACACCGCCCGUCACACCAUGGGAGUUGGUUGCACCAGAAGUGGAUAGCCUAACCUUCGGGAAGGCGUUCACCACGGUGUGGUUGAUGACUGGGGUGAAGUCGUAACAAGGUAACCCGGGCGGCCGCUC